GGGCUGGCUAUAGCUCAGCAGUUCCUUCGACACAGCAGCUAUUUAAAGGUAAGUCAGCACGUUGGUGUUGGUUCGAGUCCUGCAAGCGCUCUCCAGCCUUUAA
Vault RNA from Oryctolagus cuniculus (rabbit), 103 nucleotides. Its record names the gene Vault. It matches the Rfam family "Vault RNA". Rfam says of the family: This family of RNAs are found as part of the enigmatic vault ribonucleoprotein complex. The complex consists of a major vault protein (MVP), two minor vault proteins (VPARP and TEP1), and several small untranslated RNA molecules. It has been suggested that the vault complex is involved in drug resistance. The record is from Ensembl. Lineage: Eukaryota; Metazoa; Chordata; Mammalia; Lagomorpha; Leporidae.